This 460-nucleotide ribosomal RNA is filed under the name uncultured bacterium. Its description in RNAcentral is "partial 16S ribosomal RNA". It matches the Rfam family "Bacterial small subunit ribosomal RNA", at positions 338 to 795 of the family's 1533-position model. The record is from RNAcentral.
CCUACGGGAGUCAGCAGUGAGGAAUAUUGGUCCAUGGGCGCGAGCCUGAACCAGCCAAGUAGCGUGAAGGAUGACUGCCCUACGGGUUGUAAACUUCUUUUAUAAAGUAAUAAAGUGCGGCACGUGUGCCUUUUUGUAUGUACUUUAUGAAUACGGAUCGGCUAACUCCGUGCCAGCCGCCGCGGUAAUACGGAGGAUCCGAGCGUUAUCCGGAUUUAUUGGGUUUAAAGGGAGCGUAGAUGGGUUGUUAAGUCAGUUGUGAAAGUUUGCGGCUCAAUCGUAAAAUUGCAAUUGAUACUGGCAGGCUUGAGUACAGUUGAGGUAGGCGGAAUUCGUGGUGUAGCGGUGAAAUGCUUAGAUAUCACGAAGAACUCCGAUUGCGAAGGCAGCUUACUAAACUGCCACUGACAUUGAUGCUCGAAAGUGUGGGUAUCAAACAGGAUUAGAUACCCCAGUAGUC